Molecule: ribosomal RNA, 253 nt
Filed under: uncultured bacterium
Lineage: Bacteria
Description: partial 16S ribosomal RNA
Rfam family: Bacterial small subunit ribosomal RNA
Source: RNAcentral
UACGUAGGGUGCAAGCGUUGUCCGGAAUUAUUGGGCGUAAAGAGCUCGUAGGCGGUUUGUCGCGUCGAAUGUGAAAACCCGGGGCUCAACCCCGGGCCUGCAUUCGAUACGGGCAGACUAGAGUUCGGUAGGGGAGUCUGGAAUUCCUGGUGUAGCGGUGAAAUGCGCAGAUAUCUUGAGGAACACCGGUGGCGAAGGCGGGUCUCUGGGCCGAUACUGACGCUGAGGAGCGAAAGCGUGGGGAGCGAACAGG